GAUGAACGCUGGCGGCGUGCCUAAUACAUGCAAGUCGAGCGAACAGAUGAGGAGCUUGCUCCCCUGACGUUAGCGGCGGACGGGUGAGUAACACGUGGAUAACCUACCUAUAAGACUGGGAUAACUUCGGGAAACCGGAGCUAAUACCGGAUAAUAUAUUGAACCGCAUGGUUCAAUAGUGAAAGACGGUUUUGCUGUCACUUAUAGAUGGAUCCGCGCCGCAUUAGCUAGUUGGUAAGGUAACGGCUUACCAAGGCAACGAUGCGUAGCCGACCUGAGAGGGUGAUCGGCCACACUGGAACUGAGACACGGUCCAGACUCCUACGGGAGGCAGCAAUAGGGAAUCUUCCGCAAUGGGCGAAAGCCUGACGGAGCAACGCCGCGUGAGUGAUGAAGGUCUUCGGAUCGUAAAACUCUGUUAUUAGGGAAGAACAAAUGUGUAAGUAACUAUGCACGUCUUGACGGUACCUAAUCAGAAAGCCACGGCUAACUACGUG
This 497-nucleotide ribosomal RNA is filed under the name uncultured bacterium. Its description in RNAcentral is "partial 16S ribosomal RNA". It matches the Rfam family "Bacterial small subunit ribosomal RNA", at positions 28 to 507 of the family's 1533-position model. The record is from RNAcentral.